GUGUUUUGGCAAAAAGUCGCUUAACAUUUGUUCAAAACGCCCAGCCAUAAUAUGCCCAGACGAUGUGUACGAGAAUAGGUUCGAGGGCCGGGGUCGUGGCUUAUAAGACCGGUUCGGGCCGGCGCAGGAGCGUAUGGCGCCGUCGCCCGUCGCUCUGGGCAGGUUCGAGCGCAGGAGCUGGUGCCUGCCGCCGCUGCUUCUGGGGAAGGUUUAGGCGAAGGGCGUGCGCUAAGAACGUCCGGCAACCCUUGAAGUUGGGGUUGUAGGAGCCGAGGGGAGGGAGCUACUGCGGUUUCUUGCACAGAGUUCGUCGCGGGCCGCAGAGGGGGUAAUAGUCGAGAAGGGCUUUGGAGAGGGGUUCCAUGAGACAGAGAUUCCAAGCGAGGUUAAGUGGUAAAAUAAACUAACUCUGCUCUCGCCCCAGUCCACCGUGCGCCACCGACAAGCACCAACGCACGACGAAUACAUGACACGUUAAAAAAAUUAAAAAAAACUCUAUCAACGACGAGACACGAUCUUCCCUACUUGUCUCCUCUUUGUCCUGUCCCGACCCACAACAGACGCGUGUCUCUAUAACUCUAUUAACCAUGAGGGAGACAUUUGUUUAUAUUCUCGCAAAUCUAGUGAUAUAAAAUCACUAGAUUUGCGCGAAUAUAAAGAAAUGCCUCCCUCAUGAUAACAACAUCUUACAACACUACCUUUUAUUUUUUUAUAAGCUAGAGAACGUUUACUACAACCUAACUUACUAAAGAAAGUCAGUGUCCUCGGCAGGUUAUAGCACGAAGAAUAACCUUUUCUCAGGGACUAAAGUAUGUACGGUUGUUCUUUCUUCUGAUUGUCACCCAACAAUUCCACUCCCUAAAAAAUCGCACGUACGAAACAAGCAGGCCUAACCCACCACUCAAAACCCAUACUGUCACUCCUUACAAAAUCACACGUACGAAACAAGCAGGCCUAACCCACCACUCAAAACACAUACUGUCACUCCUUACAAAAUCACACGUACGAAACAAGCAGGCCUAACCCACCACUCAAAACACAUACUGUCACUCCUUACAAAAUCACACGUACGAAACAAGCAGGCCUAAAAUCGCCGGUGACACAGCAGGUCCAACCCCUCCUACUGCCUCAGCCGUACCGACUUCUCCCACUUCGCCGACAACCCCAAUUCACAACGCUCAUUAAAAUGUCCUCACUCGAACGAGUCUUUAGACGCUGGCAACUUUGUACUUUAUGUACGUUUCUACCCCUUAUUAGUUGUACUACGAGACCAGCUCUCUUCAUCUUUAAUUAAUUCGAAGUUCUCCGACUCUGCUGAGAACAUCAUGAUUCUCCUUUUUAAUCAAGACCUUUGUGGCUAUAGAGACAUGAUAGAUAGAUACAAGUCGUUUCUUUAAGUAAAAGAAGGAAAGAGUCAGGAGAUAAAAAAUCGUCUGGUUCUACGUGUUUUCACGCCGGAUAUUAUUUGACUUUAUCUUCGUCCAUUGAUGUGAGAUCUCCAUAUGUACUUGUUCUCUUUUCUCCUCUUGUUGCUAGUUACCUCUUUACGUGACGCGACAAUUGACGACGAUGAUAUUGUGACUUCAAAAUUAACGUCCUGUGGGUAUUUCUUUCUUUCUUCUGAACACGAUAGUCUUUGGUUAGCUUUUCCUCUUCCGUAUUUACGUCACCUACCUGAACUGUAAUUCGACGAAACAAUCUAUAUGGUCCUGCUUCCAAUUUUUAGUCUCCCGGAAUUGUAGUACGGUAUCAUAGAGUUCAGCGUGAUCUACUCUUAUAAAGUACUGCGUUUAUUGAACACAAUCGGUAAGAACAAAACAAAAUUAAAAUACGAAAUAAGAAGCUGAGCGAUCCUAUAUCAUGUUAAAAGUUAACACUCGGAUCGUAGAUCGUAGCUAAAACUGGAGACUUUAAAACAAAUCGACCGUCGUGGUCGACGAAAAUCACUUUUAGUGGGUCUAGAUUCCCAUAUAAACAGGAACGUAGUAACAUUAAAACUACAAAACGAGAUAAUUUAUUAAAUUAUAACGAACAAGGUAGAACUGGGAUAAUACAACACGGAUAUACACAAAGAAUACGCCAAUGCUGCCACUGUUACACGGAUUAAACGACAUUCUGUACGUCGCACUAGCCACCCCCAACUUUCACACCGCUACGGUUAGAGUCUCUGACUUGAACAAUCCAACCAUUCUUAAUAAAGUAUAAAGAGAUCGAAACUCUAACGCCGAAGUGAAGAUCAUAGUAUAGUUGAUAUUUACGUACACAACUAGUAUAUUAAUUACGCAUUUCUAUGGAGUGUUUUGUUAAUUACGCAUUUCUAUAGUAUGUAUUAUAAUUACACGUUAAUUAAAGGAGGGAUUAUAGUGUAUAUGCGUAAAUAACGUUAAUUAUAACAUAUAAAUAAUUACACAUAUAUAUUCUUCACAAACCGUUCCUUUUUUACACCGAAGAGACCAAGCUGGCCUAGGUUCUAAAACCUGAGGAGCUAAUUUUUCUUUCUUUCCAAAAUGUGAGAAGGCGCCGAGCGUUCGUGGACGAGCCGUAGGUGAACGGCCGGCCGGCGGGGGCAUAAAAGAACCAGCCCGGCCGCGCCACAGCAGAGGGGUCCUAGCGGGACGGCCGGCACUGUCCUCUUUCGUUGGCUUUUGGUUGUUCUCGCCCCCUGUCCUUCUAUAGCCUCCGUCGACGGGGUUGGGAUCCGAGAGUGUCAUUUUCACAUGGUUUACCUGGUACCCUCAAGGGGUUGCUUCUAUACAUUCAGACAACACCUACUUCUAUAGUAGUCGUUAGAUGGGCUUCGAGAGUCUCUGUUUUAGGAAACAACAGACGGUUAUUUUCUUCGACAACCUUGUACGGAGAACAGUUCCUGAACCUCCAUGUGUACCCCAAGUUACUGGCUUGACUACAAGUCCUCUCGACUAAAGCGAAGUCCUUUACUAUCACGUCUGCUACUGGUGUCUAAAGAAUUCAAGUGACUAUACAAAGAGAAGGAGGUGUUGCCGGGUUAAGACUUCAAAACGGACUUAUGGCAUCGCUUACUUUACCAUAGGUGACCUCCUGUGGAAAUGGCAACCUACGAAUACGACAGUUCUUUAUUCUAAUUCCUCUAAGUUGAAGUCUGUUCAUAUGCACUGUCAAUGUUCCAGGGAAGAUCAAAAAAGAGGACGCUACUUGAUCUUAUACACAUAGACGCUCGAACACAAAAGUGAUCAAAUGUAAACGGUGGAGGUAGAUUUCCGAAGUUUGUUAACGUAUGAGAAGCAGAUCUUAUACAAUGACACCUUCCUUUGUCAAAUCCCCUAAAUCAUCGCUCAACGGGCUUAAACCUCUUUGAAUUAUAAGCACCUAACACGUCGGUUAGGUUAUAUUUAUAAGCAAGUUGUUUCAAGUUCCACGAUUUUUAACUUCCGACCAAAUGUGUGGAGUUAGACGUACGAGGAAUAGAAUGAAGGCAUACCUAGCCUGACCUUGACUUAAGACUGUGUCAACCACGAAGCUGUUGGUCUACGUUGAAGUUAGAAAGAGGUAAAUAACGAAGAGAAAGUCUACAACUCUGAUAAUCCAAAGUACCUGUGUAGGAACUCACGCAUCUUGCACUUAAAGACUAAGAGUUCGUCGGUUUUAAUAAGUUGGCCGACUGUCUCUAUUCGGACCUCUAGUUAGAGCCACUAGAGUUCCUCCGUUUAAAACGGAACACGAAUAAAGUCGUACGGGGGUUGGACGCUAAAAAGUUUGAUUUCGAGUAAAGGUCCUUAAGGUACCAUGGUUCUCACGUAAAGACCCUUAGUUAUCUGGCACUACAGACAGAGAAGGUCUUGCAACUUGAUCAACCAGACAAGCUGAAAUGACCGAGGAAACGCCUCGAUCCGAAGAACUUUAAAAAUGAACUUCCACGUGGUCACAAUUCUUUUAACCCUUAUUAGCUGUUCCCUAACCUGUCUUUACAGGAUUUUUUAGAGGACUUCGACUCUUCUCGUAGUUUCCUACGUCUUUAUAACUAAGAACUCCGAACAAAGGGGGUGAUCUUUUUCCACGUCCGAUUCAAAAAGAUAACUUCCCUUUUAUAAAUGUAAAGAAGCAGACAUGUCAAUGAAUGUAAUUUCAUCCAAGUCAAAAACAUUCUUAGACAUCUUCUUAACGUAUAUAAGUUAAACCUUUAUCGCCACGGUCGAAGUCUGAACCGUACAGUGAAUAUAAAGAAGAUGGUAAAACCCAGUAUAGACCUUAAAUCACGAUAAGUUCAAGUCAAACGGAAAUCAACUGAAACUCUAUUGUACGUUCCCUCAUAAGACUCGUACUUGCACAAACAUUUUCUACUUGUAUAACUGACUAACAGAUAGAAUAUAAUGAAGUCAAGUCUUAAUACUGAUGCCAAAACCAGAACGCGCCCAGUUGAAGCGGUGGGAUCACAAAAUAGAGAUGAGACAAAGGUACCUCUCCUAGUUUAGGUUGGAGACUUCCUUGGUCAGUUCUGGUAACCUUCCUUGCCAUAGUUCGAACACAACCCUUGGAGAUUGUUGAGAUGAUGAGAGCAAACCACGCUAGAACGUUCUGUGUUCGAGACUUCAAAUCCCAUAUGUCCGUAUUCAAUAGGGGUAUUAAACAACAACUUCAAUGGCGCACGAGGACACCUUUUGUCACAACGGAGUCCUCAACGAAUGAACAACACAGUUUCAAGUCUUUCUUUUACAAACCGUCAAGUAUAACUAGACGCUUUUGCAGAAUAUAAAUCAUAGUCUCCCACAUGAAAUGAUCCAGCACGAGCAAGACAAAACUUGACAACGGCGGUAAACUCUUACGUCUUUAAACGUGGACUGCGUGGUGAUAAAGAAAAAAACUGGCGAAACCCAGCAUGAUCUUCAAGAAGUCAGAGAAGUCAGCCCACAGUAAACAGUUCAAGUCAAACAAAUGUAACUGAGACGCCAUUACACGCUUUCCUCCUGCUAGGCAAAUUGGGCUCUAUAAAAAAAUGGAUUGGAUAAACUGGACUGAUAAAAACGU
RNAcentral lists this ribosomal RNA (5001 nucleotides) under Triticum aestivum (bread wheat). Its description in RNAcentral is "partial small subunit ribosomal RNA". Lineage: Eukaryota; Viridiplantae; Streptophyta; Magnoliopsida; Poales; Poaceae. The record is from RNAcentral.